CAGCAGCCGCGGUAAUUCGUAGGGGGCUAGCGUUGUCCGGAUUUAUUGGGCGUAAAGAGCGUGUAGGCGGCCAGGUAGGUCUGCUGUGAAAACUCGAGGCUCAACCUCGAGACGUCGGCGGAAACCAUCUGGCUAGAGUCCGGAAGAGGAGAGUGGAAUUCCUGGUGUAGCGGUGAAAUGCGCAGAUAUCAGGAAGAACACCCGUGGCGAAGGCGGUUCUCUGGGCAUGUCCUGACGCUGAGGAGCGAAAGUGUGGGGAGCGAACAGGAUUAGAUACCCUGGUAGUCCACACCGUAAACGUUGGGCGCUAGGUGUGGGAUCCAUUCCACGGGUUCCGUGCCGCAGCUAACGCAUUAAGCGCCCCGCCUGGGGAGUACGGCCGCAAGGCUAAAACUCAAAGGAAUUGACGG
This 410-nucleotide ribosomal RNA is filed under the name uncultured soil bacterium. Its description in RNAcentral is "bacterial SSU rRNA". It matches the Rfam family "Bacterial small subunit ribosomal RNA", at positions 509 to 916 of the family's 1533-position model. The record is from RNAcentral.